GGGCCCUUAGCUCAGUUGGUUAGAGCAUCUGACUCAUAAUCAGAGGGUCGCAGGUUCAAGCCCUGCAGGGCCCA
RNAcentral lists this transfer RNA (74 nucleotides) under Saprospiraceae bacterium. RNAcentral's name for it is "tRNA-Ile". It matches the Rfam family "tRNA". Rfam says of the family: Transfer RNA (tRNA) molecules are approximately 80 nucleotides in length. Their secondary structure includes four short double-helical elements and three loops (D, anti-codon, and T loops). Lineage: Bacteria; Pseudomonadati; Bacteroidota; Saprospiria; Saprospirales; Saprospiraceae. The record is from RNAcentral.